Molecule: ribosomal RNA, 415 nt
Filed under: uncultured cyanobacterium
Lineage: Bacteria; Bacillati; Cyanobacteriota
Description: bacterial SSU rRNA
Rfam family: Bacterial small subunit ribosomal RNA
Source: RNAcentral
ACGCUGGCGGCGUGCUUACACAUGCAAGUCGAACGAACCUUCGGGUUAGUGGCGGACGGGUGAGUAACGCGUGGGAAUCUGCCCUCAGGAGGGGGAUAACGGUUGGAAACGGCCGCUAAUACCCCAUAUGCCGAGAGGUGAAAUGAAUUUCGCCUGAGGAUGAGCCCGCGUCUGAUUAGCUAGUUGGUGAGGUAAGAGCUCACCAAGGCAUCGAUCAGUAGCUGGUCUGAGAGGAUGAUCAGCCACACUGGGACUGAGACACGGCCCAGACUCCUACGGGAGGCAGCAGUGGGGAAUUUUCCGCAAUGGGCGAAAGCCUGACGGAGCAACGCCGCGUGAGGGAUGAAGGCCUCUGGGCUGUAAACCUCUUUUAUCAAGGAAGAAGAUCUGACGGUACUUGAUGAAUAAGCCACGG